This 240-nucleotide long non-coding RNA is filed under the name Mytilus galloprovincialis (Mediterranean mussel). Lineage: Eukaryota; Metazoa; Mollusca; Bivalvia; Mytilida; Mytilidae. The record is from RNAcentral.
AGCGUACUGGUUAGUGAUAAUUCUUGAAUACCAUAAAUAAGAAAUAAAAUUGAUUCGUGAAAUAGAAUUGCUCUAAAUAUAUAUACACUUAUAUGUUAACCACAAUUGAACAAAAUUAAGCCCACAAAAAUAAUACAUGUUUCUGCAAACCCAACCUACUCUAAUGUUAGUGCCAAUGCCAACACUAUUUAUGCCAUUUUGGAACAAGUAAGUCAGAAUGAUUCCCUAAUAGAAACAAGC